GUCCUAGCUGUAAACGAUGGGCACUGGGUAGAGGUGGUGUCGAUACCGUCUCUGCCGAAGCAAAUGUGUUAAGUGCCCCGCCUGGGGAGUACGGUCGCAAGGCUAAACUCAAAGGAAUUGACGGGGCUCACACAAGCGGUGGAGCAUGUGGUUCAAUUCGAAGCAACGCGAAGAACCUUACCCGGGUUUGAAAUCCACGGAUGGGUCUGAUGAAAGUCGGAUACUCUGCCCGCAAGGGUGAAACGUGGACAGGUGUUGCAUGGCUGUCGU
Molecule: ribosomal RNA, 270 nt
Filed under: uncultured bacterium
Lineage: Bacteria
Description: partial 16S ribosomal RNA
Rfam family: Bacterial small subunit ribosomal RNA
Source: RNAcentral